AGGACGAACGCUGGCGGCGUGCUUAACACAUGCAAGUCGAGCGAGGCCCUUCCUUCGGGAAGGUGCCCUAGCGGCGAACGGGUGAGUAACACGUGGGCAACCUGCCCCUAGCACUGGGAUAAGCCCGGGAAACCGGGUCUAAUACCGGAUAUGACCUCCGAGGGCAUCCUUGGUGGUGUAAAGGAUUCUGGCUAGGGAUGGGCCCGCGGCCUAUCAGCUUGUUGGUGGGGUAAUGGCCUACCAAGGCGACGACGGGUA
Molecule: ribosomal RNA, 258 nt
Filed under: uncultured bacterium
Lineage: Bacteria
Description: partial small subunit ribosomal RNA
Rfam family: Bacterial small subunit ribosomal RNA
Source: RNAcentral